AUACUACAACAUAACCCUUAUGCUCAAGCUUUUAGAAGCAUUGGUGUUGUUCCAAAUCUGGAUGAGUAUAGGAUCUCACUGAACACAGAUAUCAACCUUGAUCAGCGAAGGUACAAUGCGCCAACUACUUCGCAAGUAGCAGCAAUAUGGGUUGAAGGAAGUGACCCUCGAAAAAGCUUUGAUAGGAGUGUUGUCGGUCUUAUUGACACCGUCUAUGCUGGCGAGUCACGUGGUGAUCGGAUUGGCAAGAGAAUAGUGCUUCCACGUACAUUUCCUGGUGGUGACCGUGACAUGCAGCGCAGGUUUCUGGAUGUGAUGGCAAUAGUACAACGAUGGGUUAAACCGGAUUAUUUUAUCACCGUGACAUGCAAUCCCUACUAG
This 381-nucleotide ribosomal RNA is filed under the name Triticum aestivum (bread wheat). Its description in RNAcentral is "partial small subunit ribosomal RNA". The record is from RNAcentral. Lineage: Eukaryota; Viridiplantae; Streptophyta; Magnoliopsida; Poales; Poaceae.